GACGAACGCUGGCGGCAUGCCUAAUACAUGCAAGUCGAGCGAACAGAUGAAGUGCUUGCACUUCUGACGUUAGCGGCGAACGGGUGAGUAACACGUAAGGAAUCUACCUAUAAGCGGGGGAUAACAUUCGGAAACGGGUGCUAAUACCGCAUAAUAUCUUCUUCCGCAUGGAAGAAGAUUGAAAGACGGCUCUGCUGUCACUUAUAGAUGACCUUGCGGUGCAUUAGUUAGUUGGUGGGGUAAUGGCCUACCAAGACGAUGAUGCAUAGCCGACCGGAGAGGGUGAUCGGCCACAUUGGGACUGAGACACGGCCCAAACUCCUACGGGAGGCAGCAGUAGGGAAUCAUCCGCAAUGGGCGAAAGCCUGACGGAGCAAUGCCGCGUGAGUGAAGAAGGCCUUCGGGUCGUAAAACUCUGUUAUAAGAGAAGAACAAAUUGUAGAGUAACUGCUACAGUCUUGACGGUAUCUUAUCAGAAAGCCACGGCUAACUACGUGCCAGCAGCCGCCGUAA
This 513-nucleotide ribosomal RNA is filed under the name uncultured bacterium. RNAcentral describes it as "partial 16S ribosomal RNA". It matches the Rfam family "Bacterial small subunit ribosomal RNA", at positions 28 to 523 of the family's 1533-position model. The record is from RNAcentral.